GAUGAACGCUGGCGGCGUGCCUAAUACAUGCAAGUCGAGCGGACGGACGAGAAGCUUGCUUCUCUGAUGUUAGCGGCGGACGGGUGAGUAAAACGUCGAUAACCUACCUAUAAGACUGCGAUAACUUCGGGAAACCGGUGCUAAUACCGGAUGAUAUUUUGAUCCGCAUGGUUCAAAAGUGUAAGACGGUCUUGCUGUCACUUAUAGUUGGCUCCGCGCUGGAUUAGCAGUUUGGUAAGGUAACGGCUUCGCAAUGCAACGAUGAAUAGCCGACCUGUGAGGGGGAUGGGCGACACUGGAACUGAGCCGCGGUCCAGGCUCCUACAGGAGGCAGAGGUAGGGAAGCGACGGCGAUGGGCGGAAUCCUGCAGGAUCGGCGGCGGCCGGGUGAUGAAGGUCCUCGGAUCGUAAAACGCUGUUAUUGGGGAAGAACGUUUUUGUCAGGAACGGAGCACAUCGUGACGGUACCUAAUCAGGAAGCCACGGCUAACUACGUG
RNAcentral lists this ribosomal RNA (497 nucleotides) under uncultured bacterium. RNAcentral's name for it is "partial 16S ribosomal RNA". It matches the Rfam family "Bacterial small subunit ribosomal RNA", at positions 28 to 507 of the family's 1533-position model. The record is from RNAcentral.